Molecule: ribosomal RNA, 468 nt
Filed under: uncultured bacterium
Lineage: Bacteria
Description: partial 16S ribosomal RNA
Rfam family: Bacterial small subunit ribosomal RNA
Source: RNAcentral
GACGAACGCUGGCGGCGUGCUUAACACAUGCCAGUCGAACGGAAAGGCCCUGCUUUUGUGGGGUGCUCGAGCAGCGAACGGGUGAGUAACACGUGAGUAACCUGCCCUUGACUUUGGGAUAACUUCAGGAAACUGGGGCUAAUACCGGAUAGGAGCUCCUGCUGCAUGGUGGGGGUUGGAAAGUUUCGGCGGUUGGGGAUGGACUCGCGGCUUAUCAGCUUGUUGGUGGGGUAGUGGCUUACCAAGGCUUUGACGGGUAGCCGGCCUGAGAGGGUGACCGGCCACAUUGGGACUGAGAUACGGCCCAGACUCCUACGGGAGGCAGCAGUGGGGAAUAUUGCACAAUGGGCGGAAGCCUGAUGCAGCAACGCCGCGUGCGGGAUGACGGCCUUCGGGUUGUAAACCGCUUUCGCCUGUGACGAAGCGUGAGUGACGGUAAUGGGUAAAGAAGCACCGGCUAACUACGUG